This is an unclassified non-coding RNA of Callithrix jacchus (white-tufted-ear marmoset), 300 nucleotides long. It matches the Rfam family "Metazoan signal recognition particle RNA". From Rfam's summary of the family: The signal recognition particle (SRP) is a universally conserved ribonucleoprotein. It is involved in the co-translational targeting of proteins to membranes. The record is from Ensembl. Lineage: Eukaryota; Metazoa; Chordata; Mammalia; Primates; Cebidae.
GCCAGGCGCGGUGGCAUGUGCCUGUAGUCCCAGCUACUCAGGAGGCUGAGGCUGGAGAAUCCCUUGAGUUCAGGAGUUAUGGGCUGUAGUGCGCAAUGCCGAUCGGGUGUCCACACUAAGUUCGGCAUCAAUAUGGUGACCUCCCGGGAGCGAGGGACUACCAGGUUGCCUAAGGAGGAGUGAACCAGCCCAGGUCGGAAACGGAGCAGGUCAAAACUCCCGUGCUGAUCAGUAGUGGGAUCAUGCCUGUGAAUAGCCACUGCACUCCAGCCUGGGCAACAUAGCGAGACCACAUCUCUU